Molecule: long non-coding RNA, 935 nt
Organism: Xiphophorus couchianus (Monterrey platyfish)
Lineage: Eukaryota; Metazoa; Chordata; Actinopteri; Cyprinodontiformes; Poeciliidae
Exons: 5
Source: RefSeq, a predicted model, not a curated record
UCAGCCAACAGGACAUGUCUCCAAAAAUCAAGCCUGUCUUUUCCUCCGACAUGUGCCAGCACUGACCUGGCAUCCAUCGUGCACUGUUGCAAUGAAGGGGCUCUUGGCUUGUGUCAGCUCCUCGCCGUUGCUGCCCCGGAAGCGGAGAGCAUGCUGGUAGGAGCGGGAGGCGCUGUCAAACCAGCCAGCUGAAUUCUGACAGAUUGUCAGAAAUGUAUGCAACAAAGAACCAAAUCUGAGAGGUAAUGUUGCCCAGGUGGCCCCCUUGACCCAACAAGACCACGAGAACCCUGGAGAAAAAACAGCAAAUAUUCAGUAGCUAACCUGGAGUCAUGAUCUGGCUAUGUAAAAGUAGAAUAUAAACCACAAAUCAAAACUAAGGAGAGGGGCCAAAUCCUCCGUCUUUGUAGGCUGGCCAAGCCACCUGUUCCAAAGCCACAUCUGUGAUCUCCUGGGAAGUGAUUGAUAUGGAAAUAUAAUCAUACAGGCCAGGAUUUUGUCUUUUACCUUGCCGAAACUCUCUCUUUGCUUGCUCGGUCUAUCUCAUCUCAUUCACCACCGACCGCAUUUCCGUCCUCUAUUUGUCUCCCGCUGUUAUUCUUUUUCCUAUCACUCCCUGUCUCUCUUCAAAACAGACCAUUCCUUCCCAAUGUUUCUGCAGUUUAUCAGACUCUCCCUUACAUGGUACAUGGCAGCUCUAUUUCCUCAAGCACUGAGAGAUCCAUUUGGAGAGACAAAACCCUGCUGAGCUCUAACCUCACCUACUGGGAGAAAGAUAGAAGCGAGUUAUAACCAAUUAACCAGUUUUCACAGCAGAUGCACCAAACUAUGGCUUCUACAAAAAUAGUGUGAACUUUUGGUCUGCUGGAAGGCUGUCAGUUUCCUGGAUUGUUCACAGAAAGCAGUGAGAAUCUUGAUGACAGAUGCUAAAUGUA